GUGCACGCUGGCGGUAGGCCUAACCCAUGCAAGUCGAACGGCAGCACAGUAAGAGCUUGCUCUUACGGGUGGCGAGUGGCGGACGGGUGAGGAAUACAUCGGAAUCUACUUUUUCGUGGGGGAUAACGUAGGGAAACUUACGCUAAUACCGCAUACGACCUACGGGUGAAAGCAGGGGAUCUUCGGACCUUGCGCGAUUGAAUGAGCCGAUGUCGGAUUAGCUAGUUGGCGGGGUAAAGGCCCACCAAGGCGACGAUCCGUAGCUGGUCUGAGAGGAUGAUCAGCCACACUGGGACUGAGACACGGUCCAGACUCCUACGGGAGGCAGCAGUGGGGAAUAUUGGACAAUGGGCGCAAGCCUGAUCCAGCCAUACCGCGUGGGUGAAGAAGGCCUUCGGGUUGUAAAGCCCUUUUGUUGGGAAAGAAAAGCAGCAGGUUAAUACCCCGCUGUUCUGACGGUACCCAAAGAAUAAGCACCGGCUAACUUCGUG
Molecule: ribosomal RNA, 491 nt
Filed under: uncultured bacterium
Lineage: Bacteria
Description: partial 16S ribosomal RNA
Rfam family: Bacterial small subunit ribosomal RNA
Source: RNAcentral